Molecule: ribosomal RNA, 1176 nt
Filed under: uncultured fungus
Lineage: Eukaryota; Fungi
Description: eukaryotic LSU rRNA
Rfam family: Eukaryotic large subunit ribosomal RNA (bases 545-1176)
Source: RNAcentral
AAGUCGUAACAAGGUUUCCGUAGGUGAACCUGCGGAAGGAUCAUUAAAGAGAACUGGACAUGAACCAGUGCGCGGCUUCGGCCCCGCCCUCUUCACCCUUUGUAUAUCUUACCUUUGUUGCUUUGGCAGGCCUUGAGGUCCCCUCAUGCCGGCGUUUCGCCGGCGAGUGCUUGCCAGAGGCCCCUAAACUCCGAAUUUCAAUGCAGUCUGAGCAAAAAACAAAUAAAAUUAAAACUUUCAACAACGGAUCUCUUGGUUCUGGCAUCGAUGAAGAACGCAGCGAAAUGCGAUAAGUAAUGUGAAUUGCAGAAUUCAGUGAAUCAUCGAAUCUUUGAACGCACAUUGCGCCCCUCGGUAUUCCGGGGGGCAUGCCUGUUCGAGCGUCAUUGCACCCCUCAAGCGUAGCUUGNUAUUGGGCUUUCGNCCUUGCGGACGCGCCUGAAAAAGAGUGGCGGUCCGGUGCGACUUCAAGCGUAGUAAAAUAUCUCCCGCUUUGNAAGCUUUCGCGCCGUGGCUGGCCAAAACCCANCCACUUUUCAAUGAUUGACCUCGGAUCAGGUAGGGAUACCCGCUGAACUUAAGCAUAUCAAUAAGCGGAGGAAAAGAAACCAACAGGGAUUGCCUCAGUAACGGCGAGUGAAGCGGCAACAGCUCAAAUUUGAAAUCUGGCUCUCUCAGAGUCCGAGUUGUAAUUUGUAGAGGAUGUUUCGGGCGCGGCGCAGGUCUAAGUCCCUUGGAACGGGGCGUCAUAGAGGGUGAGAAUCCCGUAUGUGACCUGUGACCAACUCCAUGUGAAGCUCCUUCGACGAGUCGAGUUGUUUGGGAAUGCAGCUCUAAAUGGGUGGUAAAUUUCAUCUAAAGCUAAAUACCGGCCAGAGACCGAUAGCGCACAAGUAGAGUGAUCGAAAGAUGAAAAGCACUUUGGAAAGAGAGUUAAAAAGUACGUGAAAUUGUUGAAAGGGAAGCGCUUGCAACCAGACCUGUCCGUGGGCGAUCAACGGCUGUUCUCAGCCGUGCACUCGCCCCGAUCAGGCCAGCAUCGGUUUGGGCGGCGGGAUAAAGGCGUCGGAAAUGUAGCUCCUCCCGGGGAGUCUUAUAGACCUUCGUGCAAUGCCGCCAGUCCAGACCGAGGACCGCGCUUCGGCUAGGAUGCUGGCAUAAUGGUUGUAAGCGACC